Molecule: transfer RNA, 67 nt
Filed under: Sordaria macrospora k-hell
Lineage: Eukaryota; Fungi; Ascomycota; Sordariomycetes; Sordariales; Sordariaceae
Description: tRNA-Gly
Source: RNAcentral
GCGCCAGUGGUUAGUGGUAAAUCCAUCGUUGCCAUCGAUGGCCCGCGUUCGAUUCGCGGCUGGCGCA